This is a non-coding RNA of Lolium perenne, 1222 nucleotides long. The record is from RefSeq and is a predicted model, not a curated record. Lineage: Eukaryota; Viridiplantae; Streptophyta; Magnoliopsida; Poales; Poaceae.
AAAUAUCCCGACUCCGGCACAUGCCUAUCCCUCACCGGCACCCACCCUCCUCUUCUCUAACCCUAGCCAUUUUUCCACCACCGCCACCCACCCCUCGUCUCCUCCCCCCUUUCUCCCCACCGCCGCCACCGCAACUCCCUUCUCUCUUUCCUUCAAUCGCGUCAGAUCCCGACCCUCCCAUCUCUCUCCGAUUCCGCAAAGAUCCGGGUGACCCAUAGCUAGAUACCCACCUUAUAAUAUGCCGACAUGGCUAGCCUCGGCGGCGGAGCGUGGCCGGGGAUGGACCAGGUCACGUCGCCGGAAGAUCUAGCCACCUGGUCGGCGGAUCUUGUCACAGGCCAGAUCUGUCUGCGUCCGAUCUGGAGAUCAAGGCGACGGAGAACUUCGUCGUCGAUGAUUUCGAGCUAGCGGUCGAGCUCUACGUCGACUGCAGCAUCGCCAUCUUCGCCGACUUCGCGUGCAACAUAUCUAAGGCGAUGUGACCAGUUGACGGCGGAUCUGAUCAUGGGGUUGCCGGACCACGACUUCACACAACCAUCUCGACAUGACCAACUUCCCUGUGUUGUAGCCAGUUCCUUUUAGCGGGUCUCUGCAUCUGUAAAGAAGAGGAAGGGGUACAAUCAGGUACCAUGAGCUGGAGGGCAAGGGAGAAGGUUGCUGGCAACGAGGGUUAGAUUUUGUGAUUUCUCGUGAUGCUCUCAGUCUAGUGUGUCAUCUGGAAGAAUGAGAUGUGAAGGAGACAUGGUGCUUACCUGUGUGCUGGAGCGCAUCAACGACAGCCACGGCACAGCGUUUGCAGUGUUGAGUUCUCUGCAGUAGUCAUUCCUUCUAUGGAGUAACACCAUGUAUUUAGUGUGUUCUGGAGCGCACAAACCCCAGUCAUCGCACCGGAUUCUUAGUGUCGAGCUCACCACGCUCCAACUGAAGCAACCUUGUCUUCUCCAUAUUUGGAUGGAUGGAUGAGAUCCUGAUGAUGCAGCAGCAAGAAGGGGACCUGUAGGUUGGAAGAGUUCGUCCAGGUGGACGGACAUUAUUUUGUUCUUCAUGCUUCGGCUGAUCAUUGAUGUUGCCUGCUGUAGGGAUAUGGUCCUGUGGCGGGUUUAUACAUUUUGCGCUAGAUUCAGUUGUAGCCUUCUGCUUUUUUGUAUACACGUGCUUUGUGGAAAUCUAUUGUAACAGACUUAUUUAUGGAUCUUAUCAAAAGAGUUUCAUGUAUUCAUCA